RNAcentral lists this long non-coding RNA (627 nucleotides) under Homo sapiens (human). RNAcentral describes it as "non-protein coding lnc-RAB1A-1:5". The record is from RNAcentral. Lineage: Eukaryota; Metazoa; Chordata; Mammalia; Primates; Hominidae.
CCUCCCUCGCUUUUGGAGCUCCGACCUCAGCUUCGCCUGCGAGCUGGGUUGUGUAAAGGCUGGUCAUUUUGGGGCGCUUAGGGGUGGGUGCCGGGGGGCGCGCUUUCCCUCGUGAAGGUCGCUCCAGGAGUCAUGCGUACAUUCGUUCAUUUUGCUCUGGACGCACUGAUGUUCCCGGCUCGCCGCCGUGCCGCAGUCACGAGGCUCUCCGAACGCCUUUCACUGUGUUUCUGUUUACAUUCGCGUCUGCAAGACCCGGCGGCGCGACCGAGGCCCGAACAGAUGGAGAUGGGCUGCCAUGUUGUGAGCUGCCCCAUGGGGAAGAGGCUCACAUGUGAGGAACUGAGGGAGGCCUCCAGAAAACAGCCAGUGAAGAACUGAGACCCUCAGUCCAAUAGCCUAUGAGGAACUGAAUCCUGCUGACAACCAUAUGAAUGAGCUUGGAAGCAGAUCCUUCCCCAGUGAAGCCUUCAUGUGAGACUGCAGCCCACUUGACACUUUGAUUUGUAGCUUGUGACAGACCCCAAGCCAGAAGAGUCAGGUAAGCAGUGCCUGCACUCCUGACCCAUGGCAACUGGCAUGAUAAAUGUUUUUUCCCAUGAAGCUAUGUUUUAGAGUAAUUUGUUU